UUCUUAUUUUCGUCUCUCUUUCUUUGUUCUUUCCUCUGAGCGCUUUCUUUCAAGCACUUAUCUCUCUAUAUAUAGAGACCUCUCUCCGUUGGAUACUAAAAGGAGUUCAUGGUAACAAGUUUUGUUUAGAGAAUAAGAAUAGUAGUCGAAUCUGCUGAGAGAAAUGGAACGAGGCAAAGGAACCAAGUCUUCUUCUUCAUCUCAACUCUUUGGCUCAAAAGUGUCACCUUCAUCUCCUUCAAGGAUUUUAGAGUCUCUAUUUCCUACUCAACCUAAGGUUCCAGGAGGAGAGUCUCUGGUGGGCAGAGGCAGGAUUCCCCGAAUGAGCCAUUGAAUGCAAAUCCUGGAAACUCUGAACUGAGUUCCAUUUAUCCGCAGCAAUGCGCACAACCAUGUCAUCUGAGUUCAUCGAUCUACUAUGGCGGCCAAGACGUAUGCCCUCGCCCCAGACUAAG
Molecule: long non-coding RNA, 455 nt
Organism: Hibiscus syriacus
Lineage: Eukaryota; Viridiplantae; Streptophyta; Magnoliopsida; Malvales; Malvaceae
Exons: 3
Source: RefSeq, a predicted model, not a curated record